Molecule: ribosomal RNA, 38 nt
Organism: Seriola lalandi dorsalis
Lineage: Eukaryota; Metazoa; Chordata; Actinopteri; Carangiformes; Carangidae
Source: Ensembl
UGGUUAGUACUUGGAUGGGAGACCGCCUGGGAAUACCA